AUGAAAAUGAAGAGACGAAUUAGUAAUUAUGAAUCAAUUUAAGAAACCGGAUGGGUGUUGAAAAUCCGGAUUGAUUAAUGAUGAACUCAUCGUCGAAUGCUUGAUUGAAAUUUAGUAGGUUAAGUCGGUUAAUCGCCGUUAUCAAUGUUUAGAGUGCUCAACGCCCGUGGUCGGCGUUAAGAAUAUAGGUGGUACCGCGAUUAAUCGUCCUAUAG
Molecule: non-coding RNA, 215 nt
Filed under: Lentilactobacillus farraginis
Lineage: Bacteria; Bacillati; Bacillota; Bacilli; Lactobacillales; Lactobacillaceae
Description: Lactobacillus farraginis T-box sequence
Rfam family: T-box leader
About the family: Uncharged tRNA acts as the effector for transcription antitermination of genes in the T-box leader family. T-boxes are found upstream of many aminoacyl-tRNA synthetase genes and some amino acid biosynthetic genes usually in Gram-positive bacteria. The anticodon of a specific tRNA base pairs to a specifier sequence within the T-box motif, and the NCCA acceptor tail of the tRNA base pairs to a conserved bulge in the T-box antiterminator hairpin.
Source: RNAcentral